This 74-nucleotide transfer RNA is filed under the name Deltaproteobacteria bacterium ADurb.Bin510. RNAcentral describes it as "tRNA-Gln". It matches the Rfam family "tRNA". From Rfam's summary of the family: Transfer RNA (tRNA) molecules are approximately 80 nucleotides in length. Their secondary structure includes four short double-helical elements and three loops (D, anti-codon, and T loops). RNAcentral also lists the same sequence under 8 other names. The record is from RNAcentral. Lineage: Bacteria; Deltaproteobacteria.
UGGGAUGUCGUCUAAUGGCAGGACACGAGAUUUUGGAUCUCGUUAUGGUGGUUCGAAUCCACCCGUCCCAGCCA